CGGGCCGGCGGGCACUCGUCUAACCCUGAGGAGGUUGUGGCUGCGGACUGGCUUUCCCGGUUCCCUGCCCGCUGUUUUCCUCGCUGAGUUCCAGCGGGCCGGAAGGCCAGGCCUCGCAGCGUGCCAUUGUGUUCUUCAGCACAAAAACGUCAGCGGCAGGCGCGAGCCUGGAGGCCUGCGGCGCCGGGCCGCCCAGCUCCGCACCCGCCGGAGGCCGCGGCCGGCCGGGGGCCCUGGGCCCCGCUGCCGCCGCGAAGAGCUCUGCUCUGACAGCCGCGGGCCGCGGGAGCUGGGGCCGGCCCGGCCAGCGCUGCAAGCACAGGAACGGAUCAGGUCCGGGUGCGGUGGCUUCCCUGAGCUGUGGGACGUGCACCCCCGGAACGCGCUUCCCACAGCC
This 397-nucleotide telomerase RNA is filed under the name Peromyscus maniculatus bairdii (prairie deer mouse). RNAcentral describes it as "Vertebrate telomerase RNA (ENSPEMG00000003928.2)". It matches the Rfam family "Vertebrate telomerase RNA". From Rfam's summary of the family: Telomerase is a ribonucleoprotein reverse transcriptase that synthesises telomeric DNA. Telomerase RNAs differ greatly in sequence and structure between vertebrates, ciliates and yeasts, but they share a 5' pseudoknot structure close to the template sequence. The record is from RNAcentral. Lineage: Eukaryota; Metazoa; Chordata; Mammalia; Rodentia; Cricetidae.